Molecule: ribosomal RNA, 253 nt
Filed under: uncultured bacterium
Lineage: Bacteria
Description: partial 16S ribosomal RNA
Rfam family: Bacterial small subunit ribosomal RNA
Source: RNAcentral
UACAGAGGGUGCAAGCGUUAAUCGGAAUUACUGGGCGUAAAGCGUGCGUAGACGGUCAUGUAAGUCGGGUGUGAAAGCCCCGGGCUCAACCUGGGAAUUGCAUUCGAGACUGCAUGGCUAGGGUGCGGAAGAGGGAAGCGGAAUUUCCGGUGUAGCGGUGAAAUGCGUAGAUAUCGGAAGGAACACCAGUGGCGAAAGCGGCUUCCUGGUCCAACACCGACGUUCAGGCACGAAAGCGUGGGGAGCAAACAGG